AAGCCCUGGGGACUCACAAAGCCUUUGUUUGCUGAAGAACUGACUGGCAGGGAGACACUAGGCAAGAAAAACAAAUAGGGCCCCCUCCACAUGGUUAUUUAAGAGAAACAGUGAAAACAAACAAGAGAAGAAAGAAGUAGUCAAGAGAAAUCCAAGUCAUUAAUGAGGCGCCCUUAGAAAUCACUCCAAGCUCCAAGUGGGAGGGAGAGGAGCAAAGGAGAAACCAGGUGGAAGAAAGGGGCUAUAAAGAUGCGGAAGGAAAUCGAGCAGGGAGAAACCAGGCGAAUCUGGAGGAAGGCACACCCAGCUCAGGUGGGAGGAGGAAAAUGGUCUCCACGUUUGGAAGUAAUUACUUAAACAUUUUGCACCUUUCAAAACAACAGACAGCAACUUCCAAUUCCAAAUAUCUUUGUACUCCCCUGUUGCAGAGCCUAUUGGCCUCUAAACCCAGCAGGCUGAGAGCAGCUUUCAGCAUUAGCUCUGCCAAAACUGAAGGAAAAUAUCUCAGCCUGGGCUUGAAGAGAGGGGCAUUCCACUGGGGUCCCUCCAUGUGCCACCCCAGGCUGAGACCAUGGAGAGAGAAUGCAAGGAUGGUUUGUCUGCUGCCACUGGGAUGGAACCAGCUGGAACCCACUCACAUCCUACACCAGCAAGUAGAUGCAUUGUGAUGGAUGAGGGUCAAGAACCUGCCCCCAGCCUGUGUCCUGGAGUGGGAGGGGCUUCAGUGGAGCCCCGGAGUCUUCUGGGGUUGGGAGGGUGGAAUAAAGCCAGCUGAGCCUCACAGCAAAAGCUGCUAUCUAAAGAAGCCUUUGUCAGGGGCAGUCUAUGCAGACUUUGACAAGCAGAAAUAGAGUCCUACAUCCUAUGAUGUCAGGAGGGAAUCCCCUGCACCAUACACCACCUGGAAAUGCUGUCUCAAAAGACACUGACCUAUAAGGUCAGGUGAAAUCCUUCAUUUGGCCUGCUUUUUCAAGAGACUGAUUAAGACCCUGCCCAUGCCAAGCUAAUAAAACGUAGGUUCCUCUCUGCCUUGGCUCUGCUCCCUCUUGUAGGCCCCAUGCUGAUUACCAGCUUCCAAGGGAGGGGGCAAUACCAGCUGGGCCCAGGGAGUUUCCCAGAGUGCA
This 1124-nucleotide long non-coding RNA is filed under the name Macaca fascicularis (crab-eating macaque). RNAcentral's name for it is "lncRNA (ENSMFAG00000055611.1)". The record is from RNAcentral. Lineage: Eukaryota; Metazoa; Chordata; Mammalia; Primates; Cercopithecidae.